GAAAACCACGGUGGUACAGGAUGGGCCCGCGUCUGAUUAGUUAGUUGGCAGGGUAACGGCCUACCAAGACAACGAUCAGUAGCCGGCUUGAGAGAGUGGACGGCCACAUUGGGACUGAGACACGGCCCAGACUCCUGCGGGAGGCAGCAGUGGGGAAUAUUGCACAAUGGGGGGAACCCUGAUGCAGCAAUGCCGCGUGGGUGAAGAAGCACUCCGGUGCGUAAAGCCCUGUCAGCAGGGAAGAAAAUGACAGUACCUGGACAAGAAGCCCCGGCUAACUACGUGCCAGCAGCCGCGGUAAUACGUAGGGGGCAAGCGUUAUCCGGAUUUACUGGGUGUAAAGGGAGCGCAGGCGGCGUGGCAAGUCAGAUGUGAAAACCCGGGGCCCAACCCCGGGAGUGCAUUUGAAACUGCCAUGCUGGAGUGCCGGAGAGGUAAGCGGAAUUCCUAGUGUAGCGGUGAAAUGCGUAGAUAUUAGGAGGAACACCAGUGGCGGAGGCGGCUUACUGGACGGUAACUGACGCUGAGGCUCGAAAGCGUGGGGAGCAAACAGGAUUAGAUACCCUGGUAGUCCACGCCGUAAACGAUGAA
This 591-nucleotide ribosomal RNA is filed under the name uncultured bacterium. RNAcentral's name for it is "bacterial SSU rRNA". It matches the Rfam family "Bacterial small subunit ribosomal RNA", at positions 202 to 813 of the family's 1533-position model. The record is from RNAcentral.